This 1351-nucleotide long non-coding RNA is filed under the name Capsicum annuum. RNAcentral describes it as "long non-coding RNA (CANN_LNC021972)". The record is from RNAcentral. Lineage: Eukaryota; Viridiplantae; Streptophyta; Magnoliopsida; Solanales; Solanaceae.
UACCGGACAAAAAUCCCUAUUUAUUUGGUCAUUCUUCUGUCAAGAAUGAUGAAGAAAACAGUGUAAAAAAUGGGCAGAAAAUCAAAAAUUAACAACAACACCAAAAAGGAUACAUUUAAUUUGUGAUUCAAGGCUUUGUUUCCAAGAGAUUCAAAGAAGACUUGGGGAAGAUUCUUUCGGUAGCAAAAUUAAUUUCAUGUGUUGUGAAAUUACCAAGGUACAUACUAUUUUGCUCUAAAUUUUUAUAAAAAAAAUGGCAUUAGAGCUAGGUUUAAAAUCCCCAGUUUCAAUCAAAUUUGACUAAUUCAUAUUCUUGAAUAAAAAAAUAUUAAAAUUAAAUAUUGCUUUACCUGUUAGAAAGAAAUCACGAAUAAAUAUCGAGAUUUUAGACCCAACUAAAAUCAACAGACCAACCUUCUGUUCUGGAAUAAGAUUAGAAAGCCAUAAGAUCGGAUCUGAAAUUUAAUUUCAGUUUCAUUUGUUUUUUUUCUGAUGAACCAAAUAUAUGAAAAGAAGUAACAAGCAAUUUCUUUCUCUUCAUAAUUCGGUGUUUACUUUGUUUUAGAGUAAUGUACUUCUUCUAACUUACUAGAAAGUGGAGAAUAUUUUAGGACUACUAAUUUGCAUCAAUUUUUUUGGUAAAGAAAUAAGUCUCUUUUUUAAAAUGAAUUUAAUAGUGACUUUUAUAUCACUAAUGAUUAUAUUAUGAAUAGAUUAGACUUGAUAUAACACUUGUCUAAAUUAGUCCUCAAAUAUUCAUAAAAAGAUUUUGUCUUCUACAAUAAAUUAUGACAUAAGUUGUCGUAUUGACUGGCAUAACCAUUCUUAUUAUUUCUUGGUUCCUAUUUCAGACAUGAUUGAACGGGGACAAACUCAAAUCACUCCAAGUGGAAUUUUAGGAUGUUGAGCAAAGAAACAAAGUGAAAGAGCACGUCGUCGAAGGAUAUUUUUUUGAUGUCAUAAGAUUAUACGAAAUAAUGUCCCCAGGGCGACAUAAAAUAUAUUACAGAAUAAAAGUGUUGUAAAAAAAAAGAGAGAAGAAACUGAAAGAAUUCAAAUCUUUUAAGAUGUUCCCAAGUAUUACAGUUGCUAGUUUUAUACAUUUGUUUGAAUUAAAAUAUAUAGAACUAGAAAACUAUGUAGAAAUCUCGGAUUGGGAAGCUUUAUCUAUUUUUGAAAAUUCUCUCUGUGAUCCUUGGGGCAAGAGAUUAGUCAAUGUUUACCACAAUAUUAGACCUAGCGACCUUUUUGGGUGUAUAUAAGUCAUCUCAAAUAUUUGUGGGAUGACUUUUAUCUUUAAAUUGACUUGUAACAUGAAGCUCUUUAUUAACUUUAUAUUAUAUAUAUUAAG